Molecule: long non-coding RNA, 1099 nt
Organism: Fukomys damarensis (Damara mole-rat)
Lineage: Eukaryota; Metazoa; Chordata; Mammalia; Rodentia; Bathyergidae
Exons: 3
Source: RefSeq, a predicted model, not a curated record
CUCUGAAACAAAGCCAGUCUGCUUUUAUUUAAGUGUUUAUGUCAGAUGCUCUGUCACAACAAUGACAAGUGUCACAGCCUCCCGAUGACCUACUUAGAACUCCAAGAAAGGUGUUAGAAGAUGUGCCGGCCUGCAUCCGGUUGGCCCACUUCCUCUUGGUCCAUCCGGAGGUGAACGAAUGGUGAGGAUGUUUGCUGUGCACAGAGAUCGCACUCAGCACGGGGAAGCAACCCCCUCUCUGCCCUUCCGUGACGUCUGGCUCAACAGAAGACAGUGGGACGCUCCCCUCUGCUUCUGUAGGUAACUUGUUGAAAUGUUUUGGUAGAAAAACCCCGGCAGCAGCUGCAACAGGAGAGGCGUCUUGGCAGCCUCGUCGGUAACGGCCUAGGGUCUUCCUCGAUCCAGCCCUGAAACUCUUUCCUAAAAGCUGGUAGAGUGCAGCUUCUGAAACCACCCGAUGAAUCUUCUUACAGUCGCUCCCAAUGCCUUGAUCUGCCUCACGGUUUGAUCUUUGAUCGCGCUGCUUAACCGGUGCCUUUAUGAUGCGACAGGAAAUAAAGGCUCCCCCAGUCCAGAACUUCCCAAAGGCGACCUCCUCACGCGGCCCCAGAACUUGCUGUAGUAUCAUCUCAAGGUAUCGGGGAGCUGUAGAGCCCGCCUUGUUUCACCAUGAGCCACCUGUUCUUGGACAGCUGUCUACAAGUGCGAUCACUGUGUCGGAAACUGAACACACACGGUUACGUUAGGUAUUGACAAAGUCUGCUUCACAAGUGAUGUUCCAGUUUGCAUUUCUAUCAGCAGUGGCGGGGGGGGGUUCCAGUGUCCCCACAGGCUUGGCAACAGAGUGUGUCACGGAAGAGAGACAUGUAAAUUAACCCUGUGGUAGACACGGGCGAUCUCCACAGCCAGCAGCAGCCUUUGCUCGGGACUUCCUCCUGCAAUAAAAGAUUUUGGGUCAAUGGAACUGGAACUGGACCCCAGCCAAAGAUGGAACGGAGCCCUUAUCCGGGCGGCGCUGAGGACCUGGGCUGUCUCUUUUAGGAAACUCAAAGGUGGGACUUGCUUAAUCAGACCUGGCUGUAUACCAACCAAAAUAGAU